Long non-coding RNA from Homo sapiens (human), 551 nucleotides. The record is from Ensembl. NCBI's taxonomy places the organism in Eukaryota, Metazoa, Chordata, Mammalia, Primates, Hominidae.
AGGAGGCCUCUAUCAGAGCAAAGAAUUUGGAGCUGCUUCCAAUCUGAAACUUCCUUAGCGUUGUAAAAAGCACCCUUCAUUCGAAAUCGCUCAGUGCCUGGACUCAGAGAAAGUGGGAGAGUUACCAAGGCUCGGCCCCCAAGGCACAGUGAGAAGAAACUGAGGCAAUGCCAAGAACACCCCGACCUCAUGAGCUUCAAAGAAGCUGCUGCUGCAGUUCCCGGUUCUGAGGCACCUCCAAGACCACUCUCAUCCAAACUCUCAAAACACUCCCCUUGGGUGAGCUGUCCCUUAAAAGGAACAGGGCUGGGCCUUCACAAAGGCUCCUGUGAGACUUCUACCCCCUAUGGGUCUGGUAGCACCAAGGGAUUUCUCAUGCUAUGACCACAGACAUCAUCAAGAGGGUAGAGAGACCAAGUGGCCAGUGAAUUGGCACACAUGAAGAUUCUUUGUGAUCUGUAAAGAAAGUGUAAAAUCUGCAACAAACUGUGGAAUAAUCUGACAUAGGAAGAGGUGGAUGGUACAGAAGAACAAUAAAAUAAUAGCCAGCC